This 74-nucleotide transfer RNA is filed under the name Candidatus Lambdaproteobacteria bacterium. Its description in RNAcentral is "tRNA-Gly". It matches the Rfam family "tRNA". Rfam says of the family: Transfer RNA (tRNA) molecules are approximately 80 nucleotides in length. Their secondary structure includes four short double-helical elements and three loops (D, anti-codon, and T loops). The record is from RNAcentral. Lineage: Bacteria; Pseudomonadati; Pseudomonadota; Candidatus Lambdaproteobacteria.
GCGGGAAUAGCUCAGUUGGCUAGAGCAUCAGCCUUCCAAGCUGAGGGUCGCGGGUUCGAAUCACGGUUCCCGCG